AUAGAGUUUGAUUUAUUCUUAAAAGUUGGUUUUAUUUAAUAGUUAUAUGAAUUAUAUUAAAUUAUUAAUUAUUCAGUAAUUAGUAUUUUUAUAUUAGAUUAUUCUAGUUUAGAUAUAAAUAUAUUUUUGAUUAAAAUUGUGCCAGCAUUCGCGGUUAUACAAUUAAAAAAAAUUAAUUUUUUAAAUUUAAAUUUUUAAUAAAUGAACUUAAAUUUUAAUUGUAUAAAGGUGGAAUUUUUAUUUAUUAAUAAUUUCUUAUUUGAAUUUUCAAUUAAUCUUUAUUUUAAACUAGGAUUAGAUACCCUAUUAUUAAUUACUUAAUUAUAAUUAAUUUUAACAUUAAUAGUUAUUUUCUAUAAAAUUUGAAUAAUUUGGCGGUAGUUUAAUAUUAGGGGAACCUGUUUCUUAAUUGAUACACCACGAUUUUUUUUACUUAAGAAUUUUUUGUAUAUCUCUAUAAUUAGUAAUUUUCUAUAAGGAUUUUUUAUUUUUUUUAUUAAUAUUAAUAUUAGGUCAAGGUGCAGGUAUUUCUUAAGUUGACAUGGGUUACAUAAAUUUUAAAUUUAUUUGGAUGAUUUAUGAUUGAUUUAAUUUGAAAUAGGAUUUAAUAGUAAAUUUAUUAAUUUUUUAAUUUGAAAAUAUACUUAAAUUAUGUACAUAUUGCCCGUCGCUCUCAUUUAACUGAGAUAAGUCGUAACAAAGUAAUUUUACUGGAAAGUGAAGUUAGAAUA
Molecule: ribosomal RNA, 731 nt
Filed under: Cassianeura bimaculata
Lineage: Eukaryota; Metazoa; Arthropoda; Insecta; Hemiptera; Cicadellidae
Description: 12S ribosomal RNA
Source: RNAcentral